GACGAACGCUGGCGGCGUGCUUAACACAUGCAAGUCGAACGGAAAGGCCCUGCUUUUGUGGGGUGCUCGAGUGGCGAACGGGUGAGUAACACGUGAGUAACCUGCCCUUGACUUUGGGAUAACUUCAGGAAACUGGGGCUAAUACCGGAUAGGAGCUCCUGCUGCAUGGUGGGGGUUGGAAAGUUUCGGCGGUUGGGGAUGGACUCGCGGCUUAUCAGCUUGUUGGUGGGGUAGUGGCUUACCAAGGCUUUGACGGGUAGCCGGCCUGAGAGGGGGACCGGCCACAUGGGGACUGAGAUGAGACCCGGACUCCUACGGGAGGGAGCAGUGGAGAAUAGUGCACAAUGGGCGGAAGCCUGAUGCAGCAACGCCGCGUGCGGGAUGACGGCCAUCGGGUUGUAAACCGCUUUCGCCUUUGACGAAGCGUGAGUGACGGUAAUGGGUAAAGAAGCACCGGCUAACUACGUG
This 468-nucleotide ribosomal RNA is filed under the name uncultured bacterium. RNAcentral's name for it is "partial 16S ribosomal RNA". It matches the Rfam family "Bacterial small subunit ribosomal RNA", at positions 28 to 507 of the family's 1533-position model. The record is from RNAcentral.